Long non-coding RNA from Aquila chrysaetos chrysaetos, 4331 nucleotides. RefSeq lists it as uncharacterized. The transcript has 2 exons. The record is from RefSeq and is a predicted model, not a curated record. NCBI's taxonomy places the organism in Eukaryota, Metazoa, Chordata, Aves, Accipitriformes, Accipitridae.
AACCUAAUACAAAAAUACUUCCUUCUUCCUGCCCUGAGAUCCUGAACCUACAGUUCACAUAAUUUUCACAUAAUUGGGCCUUGUACUUCCAGAAAAUUCAUUUCCCUUGCAAAGCGGUUAGCCAAGCCUAUACUCACAUUUUUCACUCAUACUGUAUUUGAUUUACAUCAACUGAAGGCAAUGGUAAUGUGCAACAGUGACUCUGGAAUUUAAACAGAAACCCACAGGGGAUCUCCGUACUCAGGCCAACUUCCAAAUAUGGGAGAAGAGAAGCAGCCGUAGUAGCCUGGGAAGCCAUCCUCAGCACAGCAAGGGACAAAAUAGUUGGGAGUACAUGAGCUUCUUGGAAUUUGUUCAGAAAGGUAACUGCUGUAAUGCUUUAGUCAGAAUAAAGGAAUGAAAUACAAAUACUGUGAUAGCAGAAAGAAGCAUUGUUGAAUGUUAACUGCCUAGGGCCUGAACAACAGAAGUGCAGCUAUUUUUUUUCAAUUCUGUUUUUCAGUAUGUAAUAGUGCACUUACCCCAAAUCCAAAUGUAUAUCCAUACUCUGCCGAUAUCAAUCUGUUGGGUUUGCAGAUUUAUCAGGAAGACUCAUAAGAAGAACACUUGUGAGACGAUUAGUGGGGCUUACUACCAGGUCUGGUUGAAAUUUUGCCAGAACAGUCUCUCUCAACAGAACUAAAUUCACCAAUAUUUAGACCCCACAUUCUGCAAAUCCUUAUUCAAAGGAUUUAACAAGAGCUUUUAAUAUACAUUUAGCAUAUGGAGGACCUUUAAAAAAAGCCCCAAGCAAGCAGAGGAUCAACAGAUUCUAGCUACUAGCUGGUAGAUUCACUCGUAUUUAGCUGUUGCAGGUUUUUGAGGCUUCUGACUUCCAUAAGUAGUGGUAGCUGUGUGUCAGCCAGGCACAUAGAGCAGCAGUGGCCUACAGGCCAAAAGAGUACGGAGCCAAACCAGCAAGGCCAAGUCUGACAGAGUACAGGGCUGCAAAGUGGUUCACAUUUCUAGUGAGCCACUGUUUACAGAAUACUUUGUAAGUGGUACCCUUAUUGGCUGCAUUAUAGACAAGUUUUAGGACCUUUUGUUAGCAUGAGGAUAAAUCUGGCUUUUAGAAACAACCAAGGAAAAUGAAGCCAAUGUCUUACAAAUUGAAAUGCCAUUAGAAAAGCCCUCUUAUGGGGGUGGGCUUUUUAUGAAGGAAAAUAAUUUGUAGGCUAGUUUCCCUUACUCAUUGUGAAAGAGCUGUGAAUUUUCUAGAAUAGCUCAGGCAAGAACGGCUGUAGAAGAGAUAGGGUGCUGCUUGUCCUGGGAGACUCUGUUAAGGUGAAGGUAAAAGAUUCUGUUUUUCUUUCCAAACUCCCCAUAAGAAGAAUCCUGUGUUCUGUUAGCAAAAGAGAUUUGAUUGCCCUGUGUUUCAAACUUCUGAAACUCACUCUGCCAUCUGAACAAUUGAAUUUGAGUUUCUUCAGGGUGGUAUAUUAUGGUGGUAUGUAUGAGAGUAUAUUAUUUAUGUGUCAUUAGGCAAAACCAUCAACAUUUCUCUCUGUGGGUUCUAAAAAACUUCUUGUAUGCCUUCGUGCCUCUCUACCACUACCACCACGACCAAAAUAACGAUACCAUGUGCAAGUUGUAAUGGGAAGGACUUCUAAAUUUCAAGUCAUAAGUCUCUCAAAUUAGGACUUUAAUGUUUAAGUUGAGUCAUAGUGAUUCAGCUAAUGUGCCAUCAGUGAAAGAUUUAGUAGGAGUGCUACUAAAUUACACCAUUAGCUUUCAGAGCUGUCCGAAAUAGGAAAUGUUGCAACUUUGAUUAAGUUGUUUCUGUCUAACUGCAGAAAUUUUGUACUUCAUUCUGUAAGAAGACAUUGCUUUGGCUGCUGUUUGAAAGAUGUAUUUUACCCCUCAAAAGGCUUAAACCCUAAUGCCUGAUUUGGUUCCACUUUUCAUCUUCCAUCGUGUACAUGAUCAUGGGGUCCAAAAAUGAGUUCAUAAACACGUAAAAGGCUGUCCCUCACAGUACAUGCUUAAAAUGCUCAGACUUUAGUUGGAGAUUAAAAAAAAUAAUUGUGCUAUCCAUAGCUGUGAAUGACAAAAUAAAGGAUUUUGAAUGUUAAGUGCUUACAACUUUAGUAGAGAGAUAUUUUCACUUUAUCAUCAUAAAAAGAUGUUAUUGAUUCCAAAAGUUUAUAUGGAACAAAGUUCAAAGUAAAAAAUGUUCAAAAGCUAUUUUAACAAAUUCACAGUAGAUAAUCCCAUCAGGGUCUAUUAAACGCAGAGACACUACUUCUGGCUCAAGAAGAUACUCAGCUUUAGAUUUUUCAGCUGGACACCUGUACUUUGGGAAUUGUUAUUUUAUUCUUGCCCUGCUUUUGUACACUUUCACAGACAUCUACUGUUGACCACUGUCAGAGCUGGGACAGAGUGCUAGAUGACACACAUGGCCUGAUUCUGUGUGUCUUUAUGUUGUUGCUGUAAAAUGGUUCUGCUCUAACACCAAAAUUGGUGUCAGGGUAAUGAGAAACUUCAGAGUGAUGAUGUGCGAUACGGAAGUAACUUGUUAUCUGCUGUUGCUGUUACUUCCUCUUCUGUAUGACUGAGCUUUUCUUCUGCUAGGAUCGACUCAUCUCUGUUACAACAAAGAUACAUGUUGUAUAAACACAGCACUGUUCCUUUUCAAAAUUAGCGAUAAUGUGAGGGAAAACAGAAUGCAUGCUGCAUCAUCAUGUCCUGACCCUAUGGACAACCAUGGACACAGUGAUCUAGGAGGCACAGCUGAGGGUCAGGUCAUGGCGUGGCCUUGCAUCUAGUCAUGUGGCAGAGACUGCCUGCUGGAGAAACCUCUAACUGCCACACAUGCUUUUUAGCACUCAAAACAUGAGCUGUAAGAAGAAAAUUGUACAUAUAUUAAGGAUACCCAUUUGUGUACUCCCGUGCACCUUAUUUCCAUGCUUAUGACACUCUAUGUGAGAUACAAUCCUUGCAUCUCUUUCCUGUAAGCUGGGAGUAAACUUGUGGCACCUCUCUUCCAGAAAAGAAGCCUGGAAACAACCUCCCAUGGCUUCAUGCAAACCUAUUUUCUUUUCAAUUUCUAACCCUUUCUAACUAACAUAGCCUAAAAAUUCCAUGAGUCUUUAAUUAGGUUUGCAUUGCUCUUGGAGACUGGGAGAGAGGACAGAGAGAACAUAAUGCAAUAGAAACCCAAGGAAAAUUAGAUCUGAAAAUGAGGUAAAGAAAACAGACUCUGAACAAAGGACUGAGACAGGGAGAAAAAUUCUUUUGGGAAAAUCAUAUAAGCGUUCUACAGACAGGACUGCUUCAAGUAUCCGAGGGCUUUCAUGAAGGGAGAAGAUUUUAUUUUGUCCAUGAAAUGACGGUGAGCAUAGACUUUCUUUUAGCAAAGGAAACAUGCCUCCUAUAUUUUAAUUUCAAAGUAAUAGUAAAGGAGAGGAAGAAUAUGGGUUUAAACUGAAGCAAAACAUUUUAAGAAAUCGCCCUGCAUCUGAGCAGAUACAGUUCAUGCAUCCACAGCACAACACCCUUGGGAGGUUAGCUUCCUUCAGCUCCCAUAGGAAACCAGUACUUCUAUAGCUUUCAGGAAGAGUUAAAAAUAGCACCACUAAGUGUAUUUCCAAAUGUGACUAUCAGUAGGGAAGGCCCUACGCUGCGCUUGCUGUUGUCGGUAAAGCUCUGUACAGGCAAUGUGUUUCUGAGAGCUGGUUGUGGUACUUGAUGGCUACAAAGUGUAUCACCUCGGCACAGUUGCCUUCCAGAUCUUGCAGCGGAGAGGAUCCUGGGGAUAACACAGUGCUGGACACUGGACUCUGGUUCUCCUUUCAGUGGUCUAGUUGCAAAAUAUGUGAUCAACAUCAGUUUAAGAUCUGAAAUAUAAUGAGAAUCAUGGUUCACAGAUUUGCAUGGCUCAAACCCUAAAAGCAAGUACCUUUCAGGUGGUUAUAGAAAGGGCCUCCAGGGCUCCUGACUCUUAACAGGCUGAGGACCCCUUUGAUUGCAUAUCAAACGUCCAAUGCCAAGAUGAGGUAUAAAUGUUAAUUGCCACAUGUUAUGGUAGGAAGUAAACCUGCCAGUGCAGGAACAGAUGGCACUACAUGAGGACUUUCUUACACGGAAUGCAAAAGAGAGAUUAUGAUGUCCAGGACACUGAUCAGCUGGGGAACACAACAGAUAACAUGGUCUUUGGAUUUGUGGAUUUGUAUUUGCAGAUAGGCUUUACUGAAGAAAAUUUUUGUUCCAUUCCACACUAGCAAACAAGUGUUGUUAUUCUUCUAAAAAAAAAAAAAAAAAAGAAUGCAAAAGGAGCACAAGUAUUUCUUUAA